This 25-nucleotide non-coding RNA is filed under the name Mus musculus (house mouse). Lineage: Eukaryota; Metazoa; Chordata; Mammalia; Rodentia; Muridae. The record is from RNAcentral.
UGAAGCAGUACUAUGGUUCAGUGAG